Molecule: ribosomal RNA, 433 nt
Filed under: uncultured bacterium
Lineage: Bacteria
Description: partial 16S ribosomal RNA
Rfam family: Bacterial small subunit ribosomal RNA
Source: RNAcentral
AACGAACGCUGGCGGCAGGCCUAACACAUGCAAGUCGAGCGAGGACUUCGGUUCUAGCGGCGGACGGGUGAGUAACGCGUGGGAAUGUGCCCUUCUCUACGGAAUAGCCCUGGGAAACUGGGAGUAAUACCGUAUACGCCCUAUUGGGGAAUGAUUUAUCGGAGAAGGAUCAGCCCGCGUUGGAUUAGGUAGUUGGUGGGGUAAUGGCCUACCAAGCCGACGAUCCAUAGCUGGUUUGAGAGGAUGAUCAGCCACACUGGGACUGAGACACGGCCCAGACUCCUACGGGAGGCAGCAGUGGGGAAUCUUAGACAAUGGGGGCAACCCUGAUCUAGCCAUGCCGCGUGAGUGAUGAAGGCCUUAGGGUUGUAAAGCUCUUUCAGCUGGGAAGAUAAUGACGGUACCAGCAGAAGAAGCCCCGGCUAACUCCGUG